CGGUGUUUAACUGGCGUGAUGUGGGACGUCCUACCGGUGGGCUUAGCCUCGCGAGGGGCGGCCCAACUAAUAUCCCGUCGCGGUGCUCUUUACUGAGUGUCGAGUCGGGCCGGUACGUCUACUUUGAACAAAUUAGAGUGCUUAAAGCAGGCUAUCCUCGCCUGAAUACUGCGUGCAUGGAAUAAUGGAAUAGGACCUCGGUUCUAUUUUGUUGGUUUUCGGAACCCCGAGGUAAUGAUUAAUAGGGACAGAUGGGGGCAUUCGUAUUGCGACGUUAGAGGUGAAAUUCUUGGAUCGUCGCAAGACGGACAGAAGCGAAAGCAUUUGCCAAAAAUGUUUUCAUUAAUCAAGAACGAAAGUUAGAGGUUCGAAGGCGAUCAGAUACCGCCCUAGUUCUAACCAUAAACGAUGCCAGCUAGCGAUCCGCCGAAGUUCCUCCGAUGACUCGGCGGGCAGCUUCCGGGAAACCAAAGCUUUUGGGUUCCGGGGGAAGUAUGGUUGCAAAGCUGAAACUUAAAGGAAUUGACGGAAGGGCACCACCAGGAGUGGAGCCUGCGGCUUAAUUUGACUCAACACGGGAAACCUCACCAGGCCCAGACACCGGAAGGAUUGACAGAUUGAUAGCUCUUUCUUGAUUCGGUGGGUGGUGGUGCAUGGCCGUUCUUAGUUGGUGGAGCGAUUUGUCUGGUUAAUUCCGAUAACGAACGAGACUCUAGCCUGCUAAAUAGGCGUACCUUAUGGUAUCGCGAAGGCCCCCGGCUUCGGCCGGUGGGUUUUUACCACCAACGUACAAACAAAUCUUCUUAGAGGGACAGGCGG
Molecule: ribosomal RNA, 819 nt
Filed under: uncultured eukaryote
Lineage: Eukaryota
Description: SSU rRNA
Rfam family: Eukaryotic small subunit ribosomal RNA
Source: RNAcentral